This 614-nucleotide long non-coding RNA is filed under the name Struthio camelus australis. RNAcentral's name for it is "lncRNA (ENSSCUG00000016793.1)". Lineage: Eukaryota; Metazoa; Chordata; Aves; Struthioniformes; Struthionidae. The record is from RNAcentral.
CUGGAACCUUGUUGCAGAUUGAGCAGUACUGCAGCGUGUGACAUGUGCCUUCCCGCGCUGCAACAACUCCAUGGAUGGGCAGCUCUUCCCUUGGACCUGCUGCCAUUGCUCUGAGUAGACCUCCUGGACUCCCCCCUGAAAAUGUGGUCAGCAUUAGUAAGAGCUGACCUCACUUGCGUAUAAGAAGAAGAGCAGCUGAAUGUCUGUUUGGGAAUUUCCUGCCUCACCUUCUCUUUUCGGGGAGGCCAGAGCCACGAGGAGCCAGCAGCGCUGUUGCCUUCGGGGGCUCGCUCCAUACCUUUGCUCAAGGCCAGCUUGGCUCUUCCCUGACCUUUUGCCCGGAAGGCAGCGUCCCAGCGCUGAUCUGUUGGAACUAUCCUGUUAUUUAAACGCAAAGAAAUUGUAGUCCCCCAGCAGUCUUGAUCAAGAGGAUACAUAAACUCCCUGUCACUCUCAGAGGUCCUCCCAGCUAUGCAGCUGCCUGUCAUGGAAUACAUGGUAAAAUUCCUCUUAUUAUCCAUUCCUCAUCCUCAGAUAAAUGUUAGGCCAAGAUCCACAAAUGUGAUUUGCUCGCCUACGUUUUAAGCAUUCCAUGAAGAAGCUUGCAAUUAAAC